Molecule: long non-coding RNA, 4696 nt
Filed under: Homo sapiens (human)
Lineage: Eukaryota; Metazoa; Chordata; Mammalia; Primates; Hominidae
Description: HSALNT0262608
Source: RNAcentral
GCAACAUAGUGAGACCCAACUCUACAAAUAAGAGAUUGUGUGUCCGGAGGCUGAACUCACAAAGAUUUCAGAAUGUCAGUAGGAGAGGAGGUGUGUGGGAUAGCAGCCAAUUCGUCAGUGAAUGAGGCAGAGAAAUUGGUAAAAAGAAGGAAAGUGAAAACAAGAAGCAUGUUCCCAUUUUCAAGGUCUUCCUGGUUCACAAAGUGGGAAGGAAGAAACUACUGAAGAGGAAAGAGUUCUCUUGAAGAGUACAGAAUUCCUGGGCUCCCCGGUUCAGGUCAUAAAAAGAAAAGAGAAAACGUUUGCAGCCAUGCAGGGUGAACAAGCUCUGAAGAUAUAUUAUACGGACUAGGGGUUGUAAUCAAUGUUAGGGACCAUCCCCUACUUCUGAGGGCUCUGAGGCAGGAGAAUAGGGUGAGGGAAGAGAGAGACCCUCUCAUAUUGUUUUAUAUUGUUUUAUACUCAAUACCUGUUUUAAAAAAAAAACAACAAGGAAGUAAAACCAAAGACAGGCAGCCCGGCGCCAGGCCCGAAACCAGGCCUGGGCCUGCCUGGCCUAAACCCAGUAGUUAAAAAUCAACUGAUAACUUAAAAACCGAUGUUAUUCAUAGAUUCCAGACAUUGUAUAGAACAACAUUGUGAAACUCCCUGCCCUGUUCUGUUUCUCUCUGACCACCGGUGCAUGCAGCCCCUGUCACGUACCCCUUGCUUGCUCAAAUCAAUCACGACCCUUUCAUGUGAAAUCCUUAGAGUUGUGAGCCCUUAAAAGGGACAGGAAUUGCUCACUCGUGGAGCUCGGAUUUCAAGGCAGUAGCUUGCCAAUGCUCCCAGCUGAAUAAAGCCCUUCCUUCUACAACUCGGUGUCUGAGAGGUUUCGUCUGUGGCUCGUCCUACUACAAGGGAAUUAGGGUAACCAGGGGUUAAGGUAGAAGCAAAAGAACCGCACUUGCAGCCAGUUCUAGGCAAGAUUAGGCAGCACACAGGCCACAUCCUCACUCCUGUGAUAACGAGACAGAAGCCUCCACUCCAGCCUCUGAUUGACCGUGGGCCAAGCCUCCACUCCAACCUCUGAUGGACGGUGGGCCAAGCCUCCACUCCAACCUCUGAUGGACGGUGGGCCAAGCCUCCACUCCAGCCUCUGAUUGACCGUGGGCCAAGUCUCCACUCCAGCCUCUGAUGGACGGUGGGCCAAGUCUCCACUCCAGCCUCUGAUGGACCGUGGGCCAAGUCUCCACUCCAGCCUCUGAUGGAUGGUGGGCCAAGCCUCCACUCCAGCCUCUGAUGGACCGUGGGCCAAGUCUCCACUCCAGCCUCUGAUGGACGGUGGGCCAAGUCUCCACUCCAGCCUCUGAUGGACCGUGGGCCAAGUCUCCACUCCAGCCUCUGAUGGAUGGUGGGCCAAGCCUCCACUCCAGCCUCUGAUGGACGGUGGGCCAAGCCUCCACUCCAGCCUCUGAUGGACGGUGGGCCAAGUCUCCACUCCAGCCUCUGAUGGACGGUGGGCCAAGCCUCCACUCCAGCCUCUGAUUGACCGUGGGCCAAGUCUCCACUCCAGCCUCUGAUGGACGGUGGGCCAAGCCUCCACUCCAGCCUCUGAUUGACCGUGGGCCAAGUCUCCACUCCAGCCUCUGAUGGACGGUGGGCCAAGUCUCCACUCCAGCCUCUGAUGGACCGUGGGCCAAGUCUCCACUCCAGCCUCUGAUGGAUGGUGGGCCAAGCCUCCACUCCAGUCUCUGAUGGACGGUGGGCCAAGUCUCCACUCCAGCCUCUGAUGGACAGUGGGCCAAGUCUCCACUCCAGCCUCUGAUGGACGGUGGGCCAAGCCUCCACUCCAGCCUCUGAUGGACGGUGGGCCAAGCCUCCAUUCCAGCCUCUGAUGGACGGUGGGCCAAGUCUCCACUCCAGCCUCUGAUGGAUGGUGGGCCAAGCCUCCACUCCAGCCUCUGAUGGACGGUGGGCCAAGCCUCCACUCCAGCCUCUGAUUGACCGUGGGCCAAGCCUCCACUCCAACCUCUGAUGGACGGUGGGCCAAGCCUCCACUCCAGCCUCUGAUGGACGGUGGGCCAAGUCUCCACUCCAGCCUCUGAUGGACGGUGGGCCAAGCCUCCACUCCAGCCUCUGAUGGACGGUGGGCCAAGUCUCCACUCCAGCCUCUGAUGGACGGUGGGCCAAGCCUCCACUCCAGCCUCUGAUGGACGGUGGGCCAAGCCUCCAUUCCAGCCUCUGAUGGACGGUGGGCCAAGUCUCCACUCCAGCCUCUGAUUGACCGUGGGCCAAGCCUCCACUCCAGCCUCUGAUGGACGGUGGGCCAAGUCUCCACUCCAGCCUCUGAUGGACGGUGGGCCAAGCCUCCACUCCAGCCUCUGAUGGACGGUGGGCCAAGCCUCCAUUCCAGCCUCUGAUUGACCGUGGGCCAAGCCUCCACUCCAACCUCUGAUGGACGGUGGGCCAAGCCUCCAUUCCAGCCUCUGAUGGACGGUGGGCCAAGUCUCCACUCCAGCCUCUGAUGGAUGGUGGGCCAAGCCUCCACUCCAGCCUCUGAUGGACGGUGGGCCAAGUCUCCACUCCAGCCUCUGAUGGACGGUGGGCCAAGCCUCCACUCCAGCCUCUGAUGGACGGUGGGCCAAGCCUCCAUUCCAGCCUCUGAUGGACGGUGGGCCAAGCCUCCAUUCCAGCCUCUGAUGGACGGUGGGCCACGCCUCCACUCCAACCUCUGAUUGACCGUGGGCCAAGCCUCCACUCCAGCCUCUGAUGGACGGUGGGCCAAGCCUCCAUUCCAGCCUCUGAUGGACGGUGGGCCAAGCCUCCACUCCAACCUCUGAUUGACCGUGGGCCAAGCCUCCACUCCAGCCUCUGAUGGACGGUGGGCCAAGUCUCCACUCCAGCCUCUGAUGGAUGGUGGGCCAAGCCUCCACUCCAGCCUCUGACGGACGGUGGGCCAAGUCUCCACGUCAGCCUCUGACUGGUCGCAGGAUGUGACUUCGCUGUACGUUGAAGAGCAUCCACACUGUAUCGCAUACUUGAAAUUUGCUGAGAAGAUCGAUUAUGGGCCGGGGCGCGGUGGCUCAUGCCUGUAAUUCCAUUAAUUUGGGAAGCUGAGACGGGCGGAUCGCUUGAGCUCAGGAGUUUGAGACCAGCCUGGGCAACAUGGCGAAACCCCGUCUCUACAAAUAAUAUAAAAAUUAGCCGGGCAUGGGUGGCGCCUGUAUUCCCAGCUGCUUGGGAGGAAGAGGCAGUAGGAUCAUUUGAGCCCGGGAGGUGGAGGUUGCAGUGACCUGAGAUUGUGCCACUGUGCUCCAGCCUGGGUGGCAGAGUGAGGUUCUGUCUCAAAAAUAAAAAAAAUUUAAAAAAUGAUAGAUCAUAAGUGUUUCACCACAGACACACGGACACACACACAUACACACAUACGCACACAUACACACACACGUCAAAGAAACAAAAAGCAAGCCAGGAGUCGUGGCAUAUGUGUCUAGUCCCCUAGACACACACAGAGACACACCCGGACACACGGAAACACAUACGAACACACACCCACACACAGACACACACAUGGACAUACACACAUACGCACACAUACACACACACACGUCAAAGAAACAAAAAGCAAGCCAGGGGUUGUGGCAUAUGCUCUUAGUCCCCACUACUGGGGAGGCUGAGGCAGGAGGAUUACUUGAGGCCAGGAAUUAAGCAAAUAAAUAAUGAAAUGAAAAUAGUCACUAUGUGAGUUGACGAAUACAUUAAUUAGCUUGAUUGUAGUAUAAUUACACCAUGAAUAGGGAUAUGUAAACACCAGCAUGGUGACCUUAGUCACCAAGGACAGGUAGAGGCCAGGAAUUGGAGAGCAGCCUGGGCAACACAGUGAUACCCCCAUCUUUACAAAAAAAUCUUUUAAAAUUAGCCAAGUGUGGUGGUGCUUGCCUGUAAUUCCAGAUACUCACUCAGGAGGCUGGAGCAGGAGGCUCUCUUGAGCCCAGGGGUUCAAGGCUGCAGUGAGCUAUGAGUUUUCCAUUGCACCCAGCCAAGGUGAGUGAGACCUUGGCUCUAAAAAUAAAUCAAUCAAUAAACAAAUUUAUCCACACAGGUAGGAGAUCUCUACAAGAAAAACUAUAAAAUACUGAUGAGAGGAAAUGAAGAGGGCACACAAAUGGAAAGAUAGUCCAUGUUCAUAAAUCGGAAGAAUUCACAUUGUGAAAAUGACCACACUAUUAAUAGAGAUCUAUAGAUCCAACUCAAUCCCUACCAAAAUGCCAAGGACAUUCCUUAUGAGAACAUGACAUGUUUCAAGAGGAGAGGACUGGAGGGAAUUGGGUAGGUAGAUGGUGGUUUUAGGCAGAUUCUAGUUCAUUCCACUUAAUAACUCCAUUCUGAACUGACUCACUAUCAACGCCUCAAUUCUUAACAAGGAAAAAUAUCACAAAGUAUGAGAAAAUGCAUCAGGAAAUAAGUGUCAGAACUUUUUGGCAAAAUGACCUUGUGUCGGGCACUUUACUGACAUAAUCUUAUAUCAUCUUCCAAAGAACAUAUCAGGAAGGUAAUAAUUCCCUGGUUCUAUUCACAGGGAGCUUGAAGUUCACAAAAUUCAGUGGCUUAAGAUUUCCCAAGGAUUUAAACCAGAAUCAGUGUAAUAUUAAUAACCCUUCAAUGUAUGUUAAGUGUUAGAUGAGAAAAUUUACUCUGAAUUAAAAAUGAAUGAGCC